UGAUGGAGCACGCCGCGUGAGUGAAGAAGGGUUUCGGCUCGUAAAACUCUGUUGUUAAAGAAGAACAUAUCUGAGAGUAACUGUUCAGGUAUUGACGGUAUUUAACCAGAAAGCCACGGCUAACUACGUGCCAGCAGCCGCGGUAAUACGUAGGUGGCAAGCGUUGUCCGGAUUUAUUGGGCGUAAAGCGAGCGCAGGCGGUUUUUUAAGUCUGAUGUGAAAGCCUUCGGCUCAACCGAAGAAGUGCAUCGGAAACUGGGAAACUUGAGUGCAGAAGAGGACAGUGGAACUCCAUGUGUAGCGGUGAAAUGCGUAGAUAUAUGGAAGAACACCAGUGGCGAAGGCGGCUGUCUGGUCUGUAACUGACGCUGAGGCUCGAAAGUAUGGGUAGCAAACAGGAUUAGAUACCCUGGUAGUCCAUACCGUAAACGAUGAAUGCUAAGUGUUGGAGGGUUUCCGCCCUUCAGUGCUGCAGCUAACGCAUUAAGCAUUCCGCCUGGGGAGUACGGCCGCAAGGCUGAAACUCAAAGGAAUUGACGGGGGCCCGCACAAGCGGUGGAGCAUGUGGUUUAAUUCGAAGCUACGCGAAGAACCUUACCAGGUCUUGACAUACUAUGCAAAUCUAAGAGAUUAGACGUUCCCUUCGGGGACAUGGAUACAGGUGGUGCAUGGUUGUCGUCAGCUCGUGUCGUGAGAUGUUGGGUUAAGUCCCGCAACGAGCGCAACCCUUAUUAUCAGUUGCCAGCAUUAAGUUGGGCACUCUGGUGAGACUGCCGGUGACAAAACCG
RNAcentral lists this ribosomal RNA (788 nucleotides) under Lactiplantibacillus plantarum. RNAcentral's name for it is "bacterial SSU rRNA". It matches the Rfam family "Bacterial small subunit ribosomal RNA", at positions 384 to 1165 of the family's 1533-position model. The record is from RNAcentral. Lineage: Bacteria; Bacillati; Bacillota; Bacilli; Lactobacillales; Lactobacillaceae.